AUUGAACGCUGGCGGCAUGCCUUACACAUGCAAGUCGAACGGUAACAGGUCUUCGGAUGCUGACGAGUGGCGAACGGGUGAGUAAUACAUCGGAACGUGCCCGAUCGUGGGGGAUAACGAGGCGAAAGCUUUGCUAAUACCGCAUACGAUCUACGGAUGAAAGCGGGGGAUCUUCGGACCUCGCGCGGACGGAGCGGCCGAUGGCAGAUUAGGUAGUUGGUGGGAUAAAAGCUUACCAAGCCGACGAUCUGUAGCUGGUCUGAGAGGAUGAUCAGCCACACUGGGACUGAGACACGGCCCAGACUCCUGCGGGAGGCAGCAGUGGGGAAUUUUGGACAAUAGGCGAAAGCCUGAUCCAGCCAUGCCGCGUGCAGGAUGAAGGCCUUCGGGUUGUAAACUGCUUUUGUACGGAACGAAAAGCCUCUUUCUAAUAAAGAGGGGUCAUGACGGUACCGUAAGAAUAAGCACCGGCUAACUACGUG
This 482-nucleotide ribosomal RNA is filed under the name uncultured bacterium. Its description in RNAcentral is "partial 16S ribosomal RNA". It matches the Rfam family "Bacterial small subunit ribosomal RNA", at positions 30 to 507 of the family's 1533-position model. The record is from RNAcentral.